RNAcentral lists this ribosomal RNA (331 nucleotides) under uncultured prokaryote. RNAcentral's name for it is "partial 16S ribosomal RNA". The record is from RNAcentral.
CCCUAUGGGGUGCACCAGGUGACAUAAUAACGGUCUUCAAGGAAGAGUACGCGCGGGUCGUAGCGGUGUUCAAAAUGGGCCAGCUCAGGGUCCGGGCAGUCCCAGUGGAUUGGGUCGUUUUCGAGGGACCAGUGGAUGCCAUCGGGGCUGAAGCCGGCAUGCAGGUUCAUUUCCCGCUUUUUGUUGUCGCAGCGGAAGACGCCGGCAAAAGCGCCUUCAAAGGGGACCACCGCGCUGUUGAAGAUGCUGUUGGAGGAGGGGAUGAGGUCGCGGGGGAUGAUGGGGUUGGCGCUGUAACGCCAAACGACUUCGUGUGAAUGGGCGGGGGAGC